GAUGAACGCUGGCGGCGUGCCUAACACAUGCAAGUCGAGAGUGAUUUAUGAGGACGAAACUUCGGUCUAGGAAUCAUAAUGAAAGCGGCGGACGGGUGAGUAACGCGUAGGCAACCUGCCCUUGACACAGGGAUAGCCUCGGGAAACCGGGAUUAAAACCUGAUGACGCCAAACAGUCACAUGGCUGUUUGGCCAAAGAUUUAUCGGUCAAGGAUGGGCCUGCGUCUGAUUAGUUAGUUGGUGGGGUAACGGCCUACCAAGACGACGAUCAGUAGCCGACCUGAGAGGGUGAUCGGCCACAUUGGAACUGAGACACGGUCCAAACUCCUACGGGAGGCAGCAGUGGGGAAUAUUGCACAAUGGGCGAAAGCCUGAUGCAGCAACGCCGCGUGAGCGAUGAAGGCCCUUGGGUCGUAAAGCUCUGUCCUUGGGGAAGAAACAAAUGACGGUACCCAAGGAGGAAGCCCCGGCUAACUACGUGCCAGCAGCCGCGGUAA
This 497-nucleotide ribosomal RNA is filed under the name uncultured bacterium. RNAcentral describes it as "partial 16S ribosomal RNA". It matches the Rfam family "Bacterial small subunit ribosomal RNA", at positions 28 to 523 of the family's 1533-position model. The record is from RNAcentral.